GCUGUAUCACCACACAUGGGGGAGUAUAGUGCUUUCUUCUUCUGAGGCUGGUUUCUUGGGGCAGCCUGCCACACAAGGGUGCUGCACAGCCUACUGGGCUAAUAUCAGCAUGGAAGGGUCAUAUGAAGGGAUGGAAAAGCUUAAAAAAGCAACAGCCCUGAGGUGCCUGGGAGAACAGAGCAAGAAAGAAGGCGUAGCUUUGCAUCAAGAGAAAGGAAGACUAUGCCUGGCAUCACAAACUGAAUAUGCAGAUGGAAAACUUGCUAUAGGGGAAGACUCAGAUCCUCUUUUCUCAUAAGUAGUCGCUUCUGUCUUGAAGAACUUCCUGGAUUCCUGUUUUCUGAGAGAAGCAGAAGAUGAAGAAGUAUGUAUGGUGAAGAAUGAUAACUAUUUGAGACAGUUGUGGGAGAUACAAGCUUCAUUCAAAGCCUGCUGGAAUCGGUGGAAAUCUAUCGCUGCCUGCCUCAGCCUUUGGAGUCUCUCUUGGUUCUUCCCAAACUUUGGAUUUUCAAUGGCUGUAUUAAAAGUAAAUUUUUUGUCUGAUUCCAA
Molecule: long non-coding RNA, 549 nt
Organism: Passer domesticus (house sparrow)
Lineage: Eukaryota; Metazoa; Chordata; Aves; Passeriformes; Passeridae
Exons: 2
Source: RefSeq, a predicted model, not a curated record